Molecule: non-coding RNA, 3086 nt
Organism: Lolium perenne
Lineage: Eukaryota; Viridiplantae; Streptophyta; Magnoliopsida; Poales; Poaceae
Source: RefSeq, a predicted model, not a curated record
UUUACAUCCCACUUUCUACCUCAGCCGUUAGAUUCAGUAAUUUCUUUCUCACCCUUCCCUGCUCAUUCUGAGUUUGUGACGCCUGGGCCCGUGCGUGCUUGGGGCCACUCGUCUGGGACUGCGAGCGUUCCUGCUCGCGUCCGCGAGAAACCCAAAAACGGUGAAACCCUAGCCAUCUGAGAGCCUCUCUCUCCUCUCCAAUCCCGUGCCCACUCUUCUCCCCGAAUCCCCGCUCCUCUCCUCCUCCCGAAUCCGCCGCCUCCUCUCGCUUUCUCUCCCGCUGUGCUGGUCGUCGACGGUGAGCGGCGGGCGCGGGCGGCUUCCCGGAGGAGGCUAGCGGCGCGGGCCGCGAGGCGAGGAGACUGGCUCAGAGGUCGAUCUCGCGCCGUCUCACCCUCCCGGCCGCAUAUGCGGGCACAACGGCAGCGGCUGCCUCAGGAGAGGAGGAUGCGGCGGCGGUCCUUGGUGCGGGACAUCCGCUCGAACUGGCGCGGGGAGACUGGAUGAAGCGACGGCGGCGAGGCUCGAGAUCCCCCGCCUCAUCCUUCCCUGCCUCUGCACCCGACGAUGACGGCCCAGCCAUGUUAUUUAGGCGAGGAGGCAACAGAUCGAGAGGCAGCGAGAUGAAGCCUUCAAUCCUUCUUCCAUGGCGCCACCUCGACCUCACGGAUCUUGCCAAUGGCUAUGACACCAAGGUCCUGCGUGUGAACUGUUUGAUGAAAUUCGUCUGUGCCAAUUCUUUAUUGCUGCUGAUGAAGCAGCUGCCGGCCAAGCAGAGAUAUUUAUAAUGUGACGGACUGCUGCCGGAAGAAAAAGAAGACAACGACAUCGCUGCCACAUGGGAUCUCCUUCUAUGACGCUGCCGUGCUUUCCGCUGGGAAGGACACCAACAUGGUUAUAGACUUAUAGCUGUUGCUCUUGGACUUGGGAUAUGGAUCGUUGGGUGUUAAAAGCACUUCAUAGCAGCUUGGUCAUACCAUGGAUUCUUUGGAAGCUCUUUUCAGAAGCAGAGAGAGUGUACUACACUGGAGGAUUAAAAGAUCUUCGCAAUAUUUGCUUUCUCAAUGUUAACCUGUAGCGCCAGUUGGCCGCGCUGCAAGGUACGCUGAAGAUAUCUGAAGGAUUGAUUGGCACUGUCAGUGUCUAGGGAACGACCUAUGAUCUUGGAAUUGUCCAUUCGAUGCUAUGAAGGUAACAGGUGCUCAAUUGGAGGAGCCCCCCAAGUGUAUGAAGCAUGCAAAGAGGACAGUUCUGAGCACAGACGAUGUUGACGGUGCUCUCAACCUCAGGAAUGUUAAGCCUGUAUACGGAUUUGCUUCUGGUGACCCCUUGCGGUUUAAAAGAGCUGUGUACCAUAAUGAUCUCUUCUAUAUCGAUGACAGGGAGGUCGAUUUCAAAGAGGCAAGGAUAUUAUUGAUAAAUGAAUCAGAUAAAUUUACACUUUCUUUAUUUUGAUAAUGAAUUGGACAUAUGUCUGCCGCAUACAUAUUACUGAAGCUCCUCUACCCAAACUCUCGACACAGCAUUUGUAUCUCACUGGCUAACUAUUGAGGGCGUCCUCCAGCCUGCAAUUCUAGAUAAUCCUCCUAUCGAUGGUUAGCUCUUAUAUUAAUCACAAUGUCUUGUCCUCACUUCUAACAUCUCCACAUGUUCUGCUCAUAUUUUUGCUCAUAUUUUUAUCUGCUAUAAGGAAUAUAUUCAUUCUUUUCAACCUUUUUGCGAGAGGAUGAGAGACGAUCAGCUAUGAAGUGGAAAAAUCCAUUUUACACACCUAUCUAUUAGGUGCCACUUUAUACAUGACGUGCCAUCAAAUUGAUCCUAGCCGCAGUGGUGUCGAGAUUCGUGCUGAGCACGUUAUAUAGCACUUUUCUGCUUUUGGCAUCAGGUGUACAAAAGGGUGGUAUAGUGAUCUUGGAAGCAAAUGGGGAUCCAUGGGCUUCGGAUCAUUUAGCUUCCCCUGGUUCCCAUGUUCAUUGGAAAUUCCCUCUCUUGCUGAUAUUAAUUUUCUGUCAGCUUGCUCAUGUAUCUGUACUCGGUGGAAUUUACUAUAUUAUAUGAACUAUCUUUUUUGUUCAGUUUUUAAAUUUGUUACCGCACAAGCAGCUAUUUAAUGGUGAAAUACCACAUAGUUUGGUAAAGUAGUGGGAUGACUGGUUUCUGUAUGACCUUUUAUUGAAUAUUAUCUUGUCCCACUUAAAGGUUUCUUAGCUACUGGGGUGGUCCUUUGUUGGUUCACUGUGAAAAGAAACAAUGUAUGAUUUAUGACAUAUCCAAAAUAAUGAGCUUAGUGAAGCAUAAUGAAGAUCCUGACGGAAGGAAACUAUGCACAAAGAAAUUUUACCAAAAUAAGUGUGUGAAUUAAAAUUUACUGAUAGAGUGUGUUUUUUUUGGAACAUAUCAACUUUAGAAAUUAACCCAAGUGCUAUAGGUUUGUGAAUUAGUAGUAGCUUAUGCGGGUGGCUGCAGUUUGUUGAUUGGGAACCAGAGCCUCAGUGUUAGUAAUGUUGUUACUUAAGAUAGGACAUAAUAGCUUUGAAAUUAUCCCAAGCAAUAUAUGUUUGUAAAGUAACAUCAGCUUACACAGAUAGCUGCAAUGUGACAAGCUUGCAGAUUAUUGAUGUAUUUUCGAAUCUUCAGCCAACAAUUACAAGCUAAAUUUAUAACAGAAUGCAUACAUGGCUAAGAGGCCUACCAAAAGGUACAGCCUAUAUGCUUAAUGCUAGAGAUAUCCUACAGAACACAUCGAUAUUGUUUGCUCUGAUUGUUCAUGUCUUCAUUUUUUGGUUGAAGCACUUUUGGCUGCAUAUAGAUUGAAGCAUGGUUUUAAAGGCGUCGCCUAGGCGGUCAAGGUGUCAUGCUCGCCUUGGACUGCUGUCGAAGGCGUCCCAAUUGAACCGCCUAGGCGUCCAGGUCGUCGCUUAGGCAAGGAAGGCCUCGCUCUGGGCGAUUUUGGACGCCAUGGCCUGGUAGAGCGGGAAACGGAGCAGCCCGAGUGGGAAUCCAAAAUUGGAGCAGGAAUUGGAGAAAUUGGCCGCGGUAAUUGAGGGAAAUAGAGAGAGAAGACAGGGAGGAACCAAUUACUCACA